GAGAGACCUAGCCGCCUCCUCCCCACCCGCGCCUCCCUCUCCUCCUUCCCCGCCGCCGCCCGGCCUCCUCCACACCCGGGCCUCCCUCUCCUCCUUCCCUACCGCAGCCUGGCAUCCUCCACACCCGGGCCUCCCACUCCUCCUUUCCCGCCGCCGCGCGGCCUCCUCCCCACCCACGCCUCCCUCUCCUUCUUCCCCGCUGCCACCCGGCCUCCUCCCCUCACGGCCUCCUCCUUCCACCCCUCUGAUCUGGUGCCUCCCUCUAAUUCAUGUUCUUGUGAUUUGGAACGAUUUGUGUUUUGGGGGGCUUCAAUAUGGUGCUUCCCCUUUCCAUGUGCAGAGAAAAGGAGAAGAAGGGGUUGGAUGAGCAAGAAGCAGAAGGACUAGAAGAAGAAGAAGAAGAAGGGAAGGGAGGUGGGGCCAUAUGCAUGUCCAUGGAGGUACUCCUCUUUGGCGUAAUGGGCCACCAGACAAGCCAGUUCUCUGGAAUGCAUGUGGUUCGAGAUGGAGGAUAAAGGGUACAUUGGUGAAUUGCACACCGGCGCAUCGUCGGGAAGAUACUGACGUUGGCGAAGCUGGACCUGACAAGCUGAAGCUCAAUGGACAUUAUUGUUGCUGAUUACUGGUGAUAUGCUCAACUAAGUGCAGAUCAGUCUUUUACGUUAGAUGCGUUUGCAUGGACCAGUUGACAUGUUUUCUGUUUGCAAGUUCUUGCACAAUUAGAAACACCGUAAUGUAUUUCAAAUAUAAGAAACGCUGUAUUAUUAGCUUUUGCCCACUUAAAAUUGAAUGAAUGGCGUUCGUUUGACGGUGUCGAA
Molecule: long non-coding RNA, 818 nt
Organism: Triticum dicoccoides
Lineage: Eukaryota; Viridiplantae; Streptophyta; Magnoliopsida; Poales; Poaceae
Exons: 2
Source: RefSeq, a predicted model, not a curated record